GUGGGUAUCAGCUCAUUUUUAUUAUUUGUAAUAACAGUCAUCCCCCCUUUCUUAGGAACAACUUGAACAGGACUCACCCAACUACUAUCAAAAAUAGGAUAGAUAAUUCCUGCAUCAAGUAAUUUCAUUACUUCAGCUCUAACUACUUCAUUCAUAUUAGGAUUUAACCUACGUUGAUGUUCAAUUGAAGGUUUGUAGUUUUCUUUCAUUAAAAUUUUAUGCAUGCAUAUACUGGGACUAAUUCCCUUAAUAUCAUCAAUAGACCAGCC
Molecule: long non-coding RNA, 269 nt
Filed under: Elaeis guineensis (African oil palm)
Lineage: Eukaryota; Viridiplantae; Streptophyta; Magnoliopsida; Arecales; Arecaceae
Description: long non-coding RNA (EGUI_LNC020158)
Source: RNAcentral